RNAcentral lists this ribosomal RNA (357 nucleotides) under uncultured bacterium. RNAcentral's name for it is "partial 16S ribosomal RNA". It matches the Rfam family "Bacterial small subunit ribosomal RNA", at positions 338 to 687 of the family's 1533-position model. The record is from RNAcentral.
CCUACGGGAGGCAGCAGUAGGGAAUCUUCCACAAUGGGCGAAAGCCUGAUGGAGCAACGCCGCGUGGGUGAAGAAGGUCUUAGGAUCGUAAAACCCUGUUGUUAGAGAAGAAAGUGCGUGAGAGUAACUGUUCACGUUUCGACGGUAUCUAACCAGAAAGCCACUGCUAACUACGUGCCAGCAGCCGCGUUAAUACGUAGGUAGCAAGCGUUAUCCGGAUUUAUUGGGCGUAAAGGGAACGCAGGCGGUCUUAUAAGUCUGAUGUGAAAGCCGUGGGCUUAACCGGCGUAGUGCAGUGGAAACUGGGGGACUUGAGUGGAGGAGAAGAGAGUGGAACGCGAUGUGUAGCGGUGAAAU